Molecule: ribosomal RNA, 750 nt
Filed under: uncultured bacterium
Lineage: Bacteria
Description: bacterial SSU rRNA
Rfam family: Bacterial small subunit ribosomal RNA
Source: RNAcentral
GGAGGCUUACAGGGCAGUCGAGGGGCAUCGGGAGGGAACUUACUUUCCUUGCCGGCGACCGGCGCACGGGUGAGUAACACGUAUGCAACCUGCCCUCUUCAGGGGGACAACCUUCCGAAAGGGAGGCUAAUCCCGCGUAUAUCGGUUUCGGGCAUCCGUUAUCGAGGAAAGAUUCAUCGGAAGAGGAUGGGCAUGCGGCGCAUUAGCUUGACGGCGGGGUAACGGCCCACCGUGGCGACGAUGCGUAGGGGUUCUGAGAGGAAGGUCCCCCACACUGGUACUGAGACACGGACCAGACUCCUACGGGAGGCAGCAGUGAGGAAUAUUGGUCAAUGGGAGAGAUCCUGAACCAGCCAAGCCGCGUGAGGGAAGACGGCCCUAUGGGUUGUAAACCUCUUUUGUCGGAGAACAAAACCCGGGACGUGUCCCGGACUGCGUGUAUCCGAAGAAAAAGCAUCGGCUAACUCCGUGCCAGCAGCCGCGGUAAUACGGAGGAUGCGAGCGUUAUCCGGAUUUAUUGGGUCUAAAGGGUGCGUAGGCGGUCCGUUAAGUCAGCGGUAAAAUUGCGGGGCUCAACCCCGUCGAGCCGUUGAAACUGGCAGACUUGAGUUGGCGAGAAGUACGCGGAAUGCGCGGUGUAGCGGUGAAAUGCAUAGAUAUCGCGCAGAACUCCGAUUGCGAAGGCAGCGUACCGGCGCCAGACUGACGCUGAGGCACGAAAGCGUGGGGAUCGAACAGGAUUAGAUACCC